UACAGAGGUCUCAAGCGUUGUUCGGAUUUAUUGGGCGUAAAGAGCUCGUAGGUGGUUCGGUAAGUCGGAUGUGAAAUCUCCAGGCUCAACCUGGGGACGCCACCCGAUACUGCUGUGGCUAGAGUCCAGUAGGGGAGUGUGGAAUUCCCGGUGUAGCGGUGAAAUGCGCAGAUAUCGGGAGGAACACCAGCGGCGAAGGCGGCACUCUGGGCUGGUACUGACGCUGAGGAGCGAAAGCGUGGGUAGCAAACAGG
RNAcentral lists this ribosomal RNA (254 nucleotides) under uncultured bacterium. RNAcentral describes it as "partial 16S ribosomal RNA". It matches the Rfam family "Bacterial small subunit ribosomal RNA", at positions 524 to 776 of the family's 1533-position model. The record is from RNAcentral.